AAGAGUACUAAUCUUAUUAUCGAUUACAGAUACCUUAUUUGGAACCGAAAAGUCUAGAAUACACUAGUUAUAUAUAUUGCUGACGUGGCGUCUCUAGCCAAUAUGAUUGUCCCCCUUAAGUUCAUCCGCCCCAUUAUGAUUAAUAGAAGAAUAUUUUUAUCUCAAAAUGAGAGAUGUGAUUGACUUGUUACAGAUAAUAUGGUACAAGUGUGACAUUGUAGACUUCCUCCUUCGGAACAGUACUCCUCAUGUAC
Molecule: long non-coding RNA, 254 nt
Filed under: Ananas comosus (pineapple)
Lineage: Eukaryota; Viridiplantae; Streptophyta; Magnoliopsida; Poales; Bromeliaceae
Description: long non-coding RNA (ACOM_LNC012891)
Source: RNAcentral